Long non-coding RNA from Felis catus (domestic cat), 3022 nucleotides. RefSeq lists it as uncharacterized. Lineage: Eukaryota; Metazoa; Chordata; Mammalia; Carnivora; Felidae. The transcript is spliced from 2 exons. The record is from RefSeq and is a predicted model, not a curated record.
GGUAAGUAAGUUGAGAGCGUCUCUAAUGAAAGAUGAACGGUGGUCUUGAGUCCCCGUGUGGCAGGAGAGGCCAGAACUGAGUUCACAUCCCUGCUCUGUGACUUUGAGCAGAUACUUGGCCUCUCUGAGUCCCCAGUCCCCUCUGCUGUGAAAACAGAGACAAAUGCCCAUCCCAGGAGGCUGUUCAAUGAGGUCACUUCGGAACGCCUGAAAGGUAGUGAAUCCUCGACGAUGGUAGUUUCUUUUCUCUUCUGAAAACAGCAGCUGGCCUGGGUUUUCUUGAUCGCCUUAGGAAGUCUCGGGGGGAACUUCCGGAUGAUCCCGAAAACCAGAGAAAUGGCGCGAUUGACAAAAACCAACAGGCAAAACAGAACAACAGAGUUGAGAGACAGAGCGACUCAGUAAAGCUUCUUCUAUCUGUACAACUUCACGCUUUGCCGAAGGGCUCCCCUAACUGCAGUUUGAUUUGGGCCUCACACUCGCUCGCUCUAGGAGACCUUGAUGGGGCAAAUACCACCCGGUCCACGUGAAGCACGAGGAAACUAGUGGAAAGAAAUUAGAUAUGAUCGCUCAUGGCCCUUCGGCGUCCGGUCUAGCGCAUUUCUCCCACGGUGCUUUCUCAGCAUCACGGUGCUUCUAGAAUAAUGACCAUAACGACGUCGCCUGCGUGUGCACACGUAGGGCCCUUUUCAGCGCGCACACCUCCCGUGGGGCGUCUCCCCUAGCUCUCGCGACAGGGAUUUCUGGGCUUUUCACCCAUGAAGAGCCCAGCGCUUGCCCAGUCCAAGCAGUCAGCUCAACAUCACACGGCUAAUCCAGAGGCUGAGCUUGGGCCUCCUGCUACGUCCAGGGCUCCUGUGCUGGAGGACUUUCAUCGCACUCAAGGUACCGAGGGCAGUGGGGAGGUGGAUGUGUGUCUAGGGUGAGAGCAGGCCGCGCGUUCUCUGGCCCCGGUGGAGUGCCACGCCCCGGCGGCCCCGGCCCCGGCGGUCACAGCGACGGGCACAGCCAGCUCCCUGCCCAGGUCAUUUCGUGUGAUCCGCGGCGGCGGUGUGAUUUGUUGACGGCUUUUCUUCCCCGCUGGGACAGCAUGGAAAUAAUCAGAUGAAUAAUGAGCCUGUGAAGACGGAUGCCGUCUGAGCCAGCUCCCACAGAAGGGAAUCCUACGCCGGGAUUCCCGCCUCGAGCAGCACAGGACGAUGGAUGUUUCCGCAGAAGGCUGGCCCUCGUUUGCUCCGUUGGCAGCCGAUUGUUCCUCUCCACGGACGGCAGAGAGGCUUCGGAUUUAAUAGUGCUGGCAGCUCUGUGUUCCAGGAGCGGGGAGGAGAUGAGCGCUGGUGGGCUCGUUCUGGGGACAGAAGGCCGCCUCUGACCCUGAGUCGGCUGUCAGGCGGGCCAGCCACCCUCCGCGGAAGGUUUUCCCACGCAGAGGUGGCCACCCUACCUGGUGACGAGCCACGGUGCGCCCGUGCUGCUUUCCUCACCUAUUGCUGGAUCACAAACUCGAGGCUUCACACCAAGUUGUUCUGCACCUUACCAUUCCAUGGGCCAGGUUUCUGUUCCACGUCGCGUUGGCUGGGGUGGCCCGACUGGGGCUGGAGGAUCCACCGUGGCCUCGCUCACGCGUCCGGGAGCGUGGUGUUGGCGGUCGGCGGGGUGCCUCAGUUUCCCUCCACACGGCCCCCCUCCGGCAGCGCAGCCCGGACUCGUUUACGCGGCAGCUGGGUUCCAGGAACAACAGUGAAACGACGGUGAGCUCUGCGGGGAAACACCUGAGUUCUCUGCACCCCACGGGGCAGGCGCAGCACGGCACAGCGGCUCAGUCACAUGUUCUCCGGACUGUGGAUGGGGCAGCGAAAGGAAGAGAAAAGAGGGCUGCCCCGAGGUCCUGAGUUAGACAAGCCUCAGAAGACGAACGUCCUCCAGGGAGAAAAGACAGCUGUUCUGGAAAAUGGGCCUGGCCUACAGACUGUGCCCAGCCACAGUGGGGAGAGGCUGGCAGUCACAUUCAUCUGUCACGGGCAUCUCUAGUUGGCUCUUAGCAAGCCCAGGGAAAAGGCAUUUCUCUCUCUCCUAGUUUCUGCCUGUCCUUUCAGAGAACUUGGAGUGACCUUGCUUGGGUGUUCACACACGAUUGAUCCCUGGGGCCCCGGAAUUCUGGUAGGCUGAGCCCCGUCAGAUGACCGCCCUGGUUUGGGGUGGGUGGACAGCGUGCCCCUCCUCAGAUGCAAGGCUGAGCCAGGCGAGGGGAGCCCGGGGGACACCCCGCAGAAGCACCCUGCCUCAGGGCAGCAUCCAGAUCUCUACUCCCUCCUGGGCUUUUCCACACUGGCAGAGUCCUCCGCGUUUCUGUCUGUCUUCCUCCCACCCCAGAACAACGCUGCCACCCCGCAGUGCGAGAGAAUUGCCCAUUAUUUCCUGAGCUCUCACUAUGAGCCACACCUGUCUGGCCAGCUUCAUGAAGAUGAUUGUCCUCGUGUUCCAGGUUAGCUAACUGAGGCUCGGAGAACUCAAGGGGCUUGUCCAAAGUGUUGGUGUAUGGCAAAUCAGGGAUUUGAAAUCCGGUCCUGACUCGUGUGGACCCCCGGGGACUUUGCGUGAGUCCCCGCAGGGCGACCUGGAAAAGUCAGAGCUCGUGCCUCGGAAAGCAGCCCAAACCGAAGGAGGCUGGGGGCUCUGGAACUAGAACACCAAGCUCCUGUUUCUGACUUCCGUGAUUCACGCGGCCUUCUACAAACACGGGGCUGAAAGGGAACUUGCAGACUAUCUUAUUGAACUACCUCCGUUCGUAUUUAAUUUUAUUUCAUGGGCCCCGAGGGCUGCGGUUUUAAGUUCCGUCCAUGCUUCUCCGGUGAACAUCUGGUCUGUUGCUUUUAAGUGCUCCUAACAGUGCCUCCUCCCUGGUUUCCUGGCCCCCACUCUAGCGAUGGACUUUCAGAUCACAGCUCGCUCCAUAAGCGAGCGCCCACGGUCAUGGCUCUGUUUUUGAAAGUGAGGAAAAAAUAAAGGGACGAGAAGUGGG